RNAcentral lists this ribosomal RNA (1686 nucleotides) under Triticum aestivum (bread wheat). RNAcentral's name for it is "partial small subunit ribosomal RNA". Lineage: Eukaryota; Viridiplantae; Streptophyta; Magnoliopsida; Poales; Poaceae. The record is from RNAcentral.
AUGGGCGCCAUCGGUGUUGCCUUGUUCCUCGCCGUGGCUCUAGCAGCGACAUCUGGCGGCGGCGAUGCUGUGAUCGUGGAGCACACGUUCGUCGUGAGCCAGAUUAAGCUGCGUUACCUGUGCAACGACACGCUAGUCACAUUGGUCAACGGCCAGCUCCCCGGUCCAGCAAUUGAGGUCACGGAAGGAGAUUCUCUGGUUGUUCAUGUCAUCAACAAGUCGCCCUCUGGGUUAACUAUUCAUUGGCACGGAGUGAAGCAGCAGCUGAAUUGCUGGGCUGAUGGAGCAGGGAUGAUAACACAAUGCCCAAUCCAACCAAACAAGAAUUUCACGUAUCGAUUCAACGUCAGGGGCCAGGAGGGCACGUUGUGGUGGCAUGCUCACGUCGGCUGCCUCCGUGCAACCAUUCAUGGCGCACUGCUCAUCCGGCCAAGAUCCGGGCCCAAUUCUUACCCAUUUCCUAGACCUCACAAAGAGAUCCCCAUCGUUAUAGGUGAAUGGUUGGGAAUGGAUCCUAUUAAAUUGGAAACGAGAAUUCAGAGCAGUAUUUUAAGUGAUGAGCCCCUUUCAGCUACAAUCAAUGGAAAGCUUGGAGACGCCAAUAAUUGUUCAGGGGUCAUCGAAGACAACUACAUUCUAAAUGUCGAGCAGGGCAAGACAUAUCUCUUACGGAUAGUAAACGCUGCGCUCCACUCAGAGUACUACGUGAAAAUCGCUGGGCAUACCUUCACAGUGGUCGCCGCUGAUGCCAAUUAUGUGAAACCAUACACCACAGAUAUAAUUGCAAUCGCGCCAGGUGAGACGUUGGACGCUCUGCUAGUUGCCGAUGCAUCACCUGGCAGGUACUACAUUGUGGCGAACAGCAAGUCAAUGAGAGUGAAAACAAGAGGGAUUGUGUACUACAAUCCAAGCAAAAGAUCUGAUGACACUCAAGUAAUGGAGCCAGACAUGCCCGGUAAAGAUGAUGCAGCCGCAUCCUUCUACUUCCAUGGAAACUUGACCAGUUUGCCUCACCCGCUUGCGCAACCGGUGCCAGCAAACGUUGAUGAGCAACUGUUCAUGGCCAUUGACACGACACACAUGUGCAGAGAAGGUGGAUCAGUCUGUGGUUUGGUGUCCCGUAUGAACAACAUCUCGUUCCAGCUUCCCCCCAGGAUACCAUUGCUCAAAGCGCACUACUACCACAAUGUGAGCAGCAGCGUAAGCACACUCCAAGAGUUCCCAAGCAUCAUACCACCUGGGUUAGUGUACAACGACGGCCAGACGUCCAAGGCGACAUCCGUGAGGAGGCUGCGGUACAACACCACAGUGGAGAUUGUAUUCCAGUGUCCUCCAGUGAUGUACAGCUACUCUAACCCUAUGCACCUCCACGGACACGACUUCUUUGUUCUCGCACAGGGGCAUGGAAAAUACGAUGCGGACAAGGAUAUGCAGACAUACAAUUUGGUGGAUCCACCCGUGAGGAACACAAUCCUUGUCCCAGUAGUGGGGUGGACUGUCAUCCGAUUCAUCGCAAGUAAUCCUGGGGUGUGGUUCUUGCAUUGCCAUUAUGAGAAGCACGCGUCGUCAGGCAUGGCAAUGGCAUUCAUGGUGGAGAACGGGCCGACAUUGGACUCCACUCUUCCACCACCUCCAAGCGACUAUCCAAGCUGUGAUGACCAAAACAAUGGUCUGGAAUUUGAGUAA